RNAcentral lists this ribosomal RNA (334 nucleotides) under Guinardia sp. Its description in RNAcentral is "partial small subunit ribosomal RNA". It matches the Rfam family "Eukaryotic small subunit ribosomal RNA", at positions 587 to 975 of the family's 1831-position model. The record is from RNAcentral. Lineage: Eukaryota; Bacillariophyta; Coscinodiscophyceae; Rhizosoleniales; Rhizosoleniaceae.
AGCUCCAAUAGCGUAUAUUAAAGUUGUUGCAGUUAAAAAGCUCGUAGUUGAAUUUCUGGUGGGAGCGAUCGGUCCAUCCUUCACUGGUUGGAACCUGAUUGUCUCCCGCCAUCCAUGGAGAGAACUUAUCUGGCAUCAAAGCAGGCUUAUGCCGUUGAAUAUAUUAGCAUGGAAUAAUAAGAUAUGACUAUGGUACUAUUUUGUUGGUUUGUGCACCAUGGUUAUGAUUAAUAGGAACAGUUGGGGGUAUUCGUAUUCCAUUGUCAGAGGUGAAAUUCUUGGAUUUAUGGAAGACGAACUACUGCGAAAGCAUUUACUAAGGAUGUUUUCAUUA